CGUAGGUGGCGAGCGUUAUCCGGAUUUACUGGGCGUAAAGCAUGUGCAGACGGGUUGGUAAGUGGUGUAUGAAAGCGUCCGGCUUAACCGGGCAAGCGUAGGCCAGACUGCCAGUCUUGAGAGUGGGAGAGGGAUGUGGAAUUCCGGGUGUAGUGGUGAAAUGCGUAGAGAUCCGGAGGAACCCCAGAGGCGAAGGCGGCGUCCUGGCCCAUUUCUGACGUUCAGACAUGACAGCAUGGGGAGCGAACGGGAUUAGAAACCCCGGUAGUCCAUGCCGUAAACGAUGUCGACUAGGCGCUGGGCGGGUAAUACCGCGCGGUGCCGCAGCUAACGCGAUAAGUCGACCGCCUGGGGACUACGACCGCAAGGUUA
RNAcentral lists this ribosomal RNA (372 nucleotides) under uncultured organism. RNAcentral's name for it is "bacterial SSU rRNA". It matches the Rfam family "Bacterial small subunit ribosomal RNA", at positions 526 to 896 of the family's 1533-position model. The record is from RNAcentral.